Non-coding RNA from Acanthosepion pharaonis, 87 nucleotides. NCBI's taxonomy places the organism in Eukaryota, Metazoa, Mollusca, Cephalopoda, Sepiida, Sepiidae. The record is from the annotation of a GenBank genome assembly.
CAGUUCUCGUAUAAUCACUGAAGUUAAGCAAUGUUGAUCCUGGUCAGUACCUAGAUGGGUGACCACUUGGGAAUACCAAGUACUGAA